This 258-nucleotide unclassified non-coding RNA is filed under the name Hevea brasiliensis (rubber tree). Lineage: Eukaryota; Viridiplantae; Streptophyta; Magnoliopsida; Malpighiales; Euphorbiaceae. The record is from RNAcentral.
GCAGGAAUCUUUAUGUUUUCUUCCUCUAAGAGCUCAGCAUAAACCUGAGCUUCUACCUUAUUUGGAACUGUUUCAAAUGCUAUGAGGUCAGCACCUGAUUCUGCCAAUACCUGAACCCUUCUGCGAUGAAAAUCUUUCAAGGUUUCCAAGGUAACUUCAUCACCAUAAUUCCCACUGUACUCGGAUCCAUCAGCCAAAUAUGCUCCAUAGCUGCCAACAGAAGCUGCAACUAAAAUGGGGCGCUGUUUCAGAACCCUA